This 313-nucleotide long non-coding RNA is filed under the name Vigna radiata. RNAcentral's name for it is "long non-coding RNA (VRAD_LNC017151)". Lineage: Eukaryota; Viridiplantae; Streptophyta; Magnoliopsida; Fabales; Fabaceae. The record is from RNAcentral.
CAAGUCUCACCACCAAACAUGGGUUACUUGAGUACUAACCAAGUUGAAAAAUUUAUUACCCCUAUAUUUUGACACCAGUCUUCAUUUGGGGGUUAAAAGAGUGCAUUGCAGCCCAUAAGUCUAACAAAACCAAGUUGUUGAAGAUUUCUCAAAUCUGGACACCAAGCACCAACUUUGCCAAGUUUUACCACCAAAAAUGACUUGUUUGAAAAACCUCAAAGAGAACCGCUCCGGCAAUCGACCAACGAUUCGCGAGCUUCUCCUAUUCACGAGACUAGGCAGAGCACCUUGCUAACUAGAAGAGAACCGCUCC